RNAcentral lists this ribosomal RNA (916 nucleotides) under uncultured archaeon. RNAcentral's name for it is "bacterial SSU rRNA". It matches the Rfam family "Archaeal small subunit ribosomal RNA", at positions 1 to 922 of the family's 1478-position model. The record is from RNAcentral.
UUCCGGUUGAUCCCGCCGGAGGUUACUGCUAUCGGGGUCCGACUAAGCCAUGCGAGUCGAGAGGGGUAAGCCCUCGGCAUACUGCUCAGUAACACGCGGAUAACCUGCCCUUGGGUCCGGGAUAACCCCGGGAAACUGGGACUAAUACCGGAUAGAUCAGAGAUACUGGAAUGUUCUCUGGUCCAAAACUCCGGUGCCCAAGGAUGGGUCUGCGGCCUAUCAGGUAGUAGUGGGUGUAACGUACCUACUAGCCAGCGACGGGUAAGGGUUGUGAGAGCAAGAUCCCUGAGAUGGAUUCUGAGACAUGAAUCCAGGCCCUACGGGGUGCAGCAGGCGCGAAAACUUUACACUGCGGGAAACCGCGAUAAGGGGACCCCGAGUGCCAGCACCUAGUGCUGGCUGUCCUACUGUCUAAAUAACAGUGGUUAGCAAGGGCCGGGCAAGACCGGUGCCAGCCGCCGCGGUAACACCGGCGGCCCGAGUGGUAACCGUUUUUAUUGGGUUUAAAGGGUCCGUAGCCGGCUUAUUAAGUCUCUUGGGAAAUCUGGCGGCUCAAUCGUCAGGCGUCCAAGAGAUACUGGUAGGCUUGGGACCGGGAGAGGUGGGAGGUACUCCAGGGGUAGGGGUGAAAUCUCGUAAUCCUUGGGGGACCACCGAUGGCGAAGGCAUCCCACCAGAACGGGUCCGACGGUGAGGGACGAAAGCUGGGGGCACGAACCGGAUUAGAUACCCGGGUAGUCCCAGCUGUAAACGAUGCUCGCUAGGUGUCAGGUGCGGUGCGACUGCAUCUGGUGCCGCAGUGAAAACUUGAAGCGAGUCACCUGGGAAGUACGGUCGCAAGGCUGAAACUUAAAGGAAUUGGCGGGGGAGCACUACAACGGGUGGAGCCUGCGGUUCAAUUGGAGUCAACGCCGGG